GGCCAGGUCGGAGCGAACUGAUUAGAAGCUUGCUUCUAUGACGUUAGCGGCGGACGGGUGAGUAACACGUGGGCAACCUGCCUGUAAGACUGGGAUAACUUCGGGAAACCGAAGCUAAUACCGGAUAGGAUCUUCUCCUUCAUGGGAGAUGAUUGAAAGAUGGUUUCGGCUAUCACUUACAGAUGGGCCCGCGGUGCAUUAGCUAGUUGGUGAGGUAACGGCUCACCAAGGCAACGAUGCAUAGCCGACCUGAGAGGGUGAUCGGCCACACUGGGACUGAGACACGGCCCAGACUCCUACGGGAGGCAGCAGUAGGGAAUCUUCCGCAAUGGACGAAAGUCUGACGGAGCAACGCCGCGUGAGUGAUGAAGGCUUUCGGGUCGUAAAACUCUGUUGUUAGGGAAGAACAAGUACGAGAGUAACUGCUCGUACCUUGACGGUACCUAACCAGAAAGCCACGGCUAACUACGUGCCAGCAGCCGCGGUAAUACGUAGGUGGCAAGCGUUAUCCGGAAUUAUUGGGCGUAAAGCGCGCGCAGGCGGUUUCUUAAGUCUGAUGUGAAAGCCCACGGCUCAACCGUGGAGGGUCAUUGGAAACUGGGGAACUUGAGUGCAGAAGAGAAAAGCGGAAUUCCACGUGUAGCGGUGAAAUGCGUAGAGAUGUGGAGGAACACCAGUGGCGAAGGCGGCUUUUUGGUCUGUAACUGACGCUGAGGCGCGAAAGCGUGGGGAGCAAACAGGAUUAGAUAU
RNAcentral lists this ribosomal RNA (750 nucleotides) under Bacillus subtilis. RNAcentral's name for it is "bacterial SSU rRNA". It matches the Rfam family "Bacterial small subunit ribosomal RNA", at positions 56 to 785 of the family's 1533-position model. The record is from RNAcentral. Lineage: Bacteria; Bacillati; Bacillota; Bacilli; Caryophanales; Bacillaceae.